Molecule: ribosomal RNA, 549 nt
Filed under: uncultured bacterium
Lineage: Bacteria
Description: bacterial SSU rRNA
Rfam family: Bacterial small subunit ribosomal RNA
Source: RNAcentral
UGGGGAAUAUUGGACAAUGGGCGAAAGCCUGAUCCAGCCAUGCCGCGUGUGUGAAGAAGGCCUUUUGGUUGUAAAGCACUUUAAGUGGGGAGGAAAAGCUUAUGGUUAAUACCCAUAAGCCCUGACGUUACCCACAGAAUAAGCACCGGCUAACUCUGUGCCAGCAGCCGCGGUAAUACAGAGGGUGCAAGCGUUAAUCGGAAUUACUGGGCGUAAAGCGCGCGUAGGUGGUUAUUUAAGUCAGAUGUGAAAGCCCCGGGCUUAACCUGGGAACUGCAUCUGAUACUGGAUAACUAGAGUAGGUGAGAGGGGAGUAGAAUUCCAGGUGUAGCGGUGAAAUGCGUAGAGAUCUGGAGGAAUACCGAUAGCGAAGGCAGCUCCCUGGCAUCAUACUGACACUGAGGUGCGAAAGCGUGGGUAGCAAACAGGAUUAGAUACCCUGGUAGUCCACGCCGUAAACGAUGUCUACCAGUCGUUGGGUCUUUUAAAGACUUAGUGACGCAGUUAACGCAAUAAGUAGACCGCCUGGGGAGUACGGCCGCAAGGUUA